AUACGUAGGUGGCAAGCGUUAUCCGGAUUUACUGGGCGUAAAGAGCUCGUAGGUGGUUUGUCGCGUCGUCUGUGAAAUUCCGGGGCUUAACUCCGGGCGUGCAGGCGAUACGGGCAUAACUUGAGUACUGUAGGGGAGACUGGAAUUCCUGGUGUAGCGGUGAAAUGCGCAGAUAUCAGGAGGAACACCGGUGGCGAAGGCGGGUCUCUGGGCAGUAACUGACGCUGAGGAGCGAAAGCAUGGGUAGCGAACGGGAUUAGAUACCCUGGUAGUCCAUGCCGUAAACGGUGGGCGCUAGGUGUAGGGGUCUUCCACGACUUCUGUGCCGUAGCUAACGCAUUAAGCGCCCCGCCUGGGGAGUACGGCCGCAAGGCUAAAACUCAAAGGAAUUGACGGGG
RNAcentral lists this ribosomal RNA (398 nucleotides) under uncultured bacterium. Its description in RNAcentral is "partial 16S ribosomal RNA". It matches the Rfam family "Bacterial small subunit ribosomal RNA", at positions 523 to 918 of the family's 1533-position model. The record is from RNAcentral.